Molecule: ribosomal RNA, 381 nt
Filed under: uncultured eukaryote
Lineage: Eukaryota
Description: partial 18S ribosomal RNA
Rfam family: Eukaryotic small subunit ribosomal RNA
Source: RNAcentral
CAAUAGCGUAUAUUAAAGUUGUUGCGGUAAAAAAGCUCGUAGUUGGAUUUCUACCGAAGAUAGCCGGUCGGGUCUUCGACCUUGUAUCUGGUUUUGUCUUUGGUAUCCUCAUAGGGAACGUUUCUGCGCUUUAUUGCGUGGUGCGGUAUCUAUGACUUUUACUUUGAGGAAAUUAGAGUGUUCACGGCAGGCAAACGCCUUGAAUAUAUUAGCAUGGAAUAAUAACAUAGGAUCUUCGUCCUAUUUUGUUGGUUUCUAGGGCUAAGAUAGUGAUUAAUAGGGAUAAUUGGGGGCAUCUGUAUCAACGCGUCAGAGGUGGAAUUCUUGGAUUGCGUUGCGACAAACUACUGCGAAAGCAUUUGCCAAGGAUGUUUUCAUUGA